GAGGGUAGAGCUCAAGUGGUAGAGCACAUGCUUAGCAUGCACAAGGUCCUGGGUUCAAUCCCCAGUACCUCCU
This is a transfer RNA of Camelus ferus (Wild Bactrian camel), 73 nucleotides long. It matches the Rfam family "tRNA". Rfam says of the family: Transfer RNA (tRNA) molecules are approximately 80 nucleotides in length. Their secondary structure includes four short double-helical elements and three loops (D, anti-codon, and T loops). Lineage: Eukaryota; Metazoa; Chordata; Mammalia; Artiodactyla; Camelidae. The record is from Rfam.